Molecule: non-coding RNA, 82 nt
Organism: Podarcis lilfordi (Lilford's wall lizard)
Lineage: Eukaryota; Metazoa; Chordata; Lepidosauria; Squamata; Lacertidae
Source: the annotation of a GenBank genome assembly
GCCCAUUAUAUUAUUAUAGCUCAGUUGGUAUAGCAUUUGACUCCUAAUCUCAGGGUCUUGGGUUCGAGUGCCACGUUGGGCA